GAGGCUAAGCACACUGACACAAUAUUUAACGUGGUUCGGCAAACUGCCUACAUCCACGGGAGAAGCCAUUUGAUUAUAUAGGGAGAGAACAAGGUUUACAACAAUAGAGGAGGAGGAAUUAUUCCCUCUUUAGCAACUCUCAACCUCACUCUAUUUCUCUCUUCUUGGUGCUGCAAUGGCAGCCCACUCUCUCCUAUAUUUCUCACAUCUUUGGCUCUA
RNAcentral lists this long non-coding RNA (219 nucleotides) under Populus tremula. RNAcentral describes it as "long non-coding RNA (PTRE_LNC001025)". The record is from RNAcentral. Lineage: Eukaryota; Viridiplantae; Streptophyta; Magnoliopsida; Malpighiales; Salicaceae.